GGGCACAUAGCUCAGCCCGGUAGAGCGCGUCGUUCGCAACGACGAGGCCGGGGGUUCAAAUCCCCCUGUGUCCAC
Molecule: transfer RNA, 75 nt
Filed under: uncultured archaeon
Lineage: Archaea
Description: tRNA-Ala(cgc)
Rfam family: tRNA
About the family: Transfer RNA (tRNA) molecules are approximately 80 nucleotides in length.
Source: RNAcentral